UAACCAUGGUGCAGACAUUUUCUCAUCAUUUCCUUGAAUCGCUCCAAUGCUUCGAAUAGCAAUUCUCGAUCAUCCUUCCUAAAGAAGGUAAUUUGUUUCCUUAACUGUGUCA
Vicia villosa (hairy vetch) is the source of this 112-nucleotide small nucleolar RNA. The record is from RefSeq and is a predicted model, not a curated record. Lineage: Eukaryota; Viridiplantae; Streptophyta; Magnoliopsida; Fabales; Fabaceae.